This 497-nucleotide ribosomal RNA is filed under the name uncultured bacterium. RNAcentral describes it as "partial 16S ribosomal RNA". It matches the Rfam family "Bacterial small subunit ribosomal RNA", at positions 28 to 507 of the family's 1533-position model. The record is from RNAcentral.
GAUGAACGCUGGCGGCGUGCCUAAUACAUGCAAGUCGAGCGAACAGACGAGGAGCUUGCUCCUCUGACGUUAGCGGCGGACGGGUGAGUAACACGUGGAUAACCUACCUAUAAGACUGGGAUAACUUCGGGAAACCGGAGCUAAUACCGGAUAAUAUAUUGAACCGCAUGGUUCAAUAGUGAAAGACGGUUUUGCUGUCACUUAUAGAUGGAUCCGCGCCGCAUUAGCUAGUUGGUAAGGUAACGGCUUACCAAGGCGACGAUGCGUAGCCGACCUGAGAGGGUGAUCGGCCACACUGGAACUGAGACACGGUCCAGACUCCUACGGGAGGCAGCAGUAGGGAAUCUUCCGACCUGGCCGAAAGCCUGACGGAGCGACGCCGCGUGAGUGAUGAAGGUCUUCGGAUCGUAAAACUCUGUUAUUAGGGAAGAACAAAUGUGUAAGUAACUAUGCACGUCUUGACGGUACCUAAUCAGAAAGCCACGGCUACAUACGUG